UCCAGGUACAAAUUAUAAAUUCUCAGCAGUGAGCAGAUUGUGAGCCACUGAAUAUAGAUAGAGAUCUACAAGAAGGAAAUAUUUAAGAUAAGACUUAAUCGUGAAGUGCAAUCCGACAUCGAACAUUUCGGAACUUUACCGGAACUUUUUAUGAUCACCCUUAGCCUUAGCUUUAGUUAUAAUAAUAAAUUAUAAGUUCAUAAAUUUGUUAUUGAUUUAUUGUUAUAUUAUAAAUUAUAGACGUCUAGCCCAGUCUAGACUAUAGAGUCUAGGUACUUAAAUCUUAGCCUAGCCCUUAUCAUGAAAAAAUGUACGGCACUAGCUAAGAUUUAGAAUUUAAGAAUAUGAUUGAUAUCUUAAAUAUCUAGAUCUACUCUAUUCUAGAGACUCUUAGACUACGAGUACUACAGUCACAGUCUAGAUCUAUCUUUUUAAGUUCUUGCAAGAACCAAAACUAUUUUCAUUUCUAGAAUCUAGGAGAUUGAAAUCAUUCAUUAUUCAUGCUUACGAUUUCAGAGCAACACUGCCACAAGGUCUGAAAGGGGAACUGUACUGUACUAGUACUGCCAACAAACCUGCACAAUUACUCAGACUAUUAAGGUGUCGGACCAUCAUUGGAUUACUUGAGAGAAUAAAGUUAGGACCAAUCCAAGACAGUUUUAUUUUGUGCUGAUGAAUCUUAUCAAUGGACAUCCAGCUAAAUCUAUCCAGUACGAGUGGCUAAAAUUAAUAUGCAAACAAGGCAGAGCCACAAAACAGUCAAGUAAAGACAUUUGGACAAAUCAAAGGUCAUGGAAACAAGAUUGUCCAGCAUUGAUUCGUGCAGUGAUACGGCAUUCGGAUGAUACUGGCUUCCAAUUCGUAAUCACAAAGGCACGACUGUCACAUGAAAAUCAUCCCACAGAUCAUAAAUUAUUAAAAAGCCUAUUUACUCCUAACAGUUAUCUCUCAAGAAUUUUCACAUGUCAAUAUUGAUUUCGCGAUAGCUAUAUACAAUUAUUUUAUU
Molecule: long non-coding RNA, 1006 nt
Organism: Biomphalaria glabrata
Lineage: Eukaryota; Metazoa; Mollusca; Gastropoda; Planorbidae
Exons: 3
Source: RefSeq, a predicted model, not a curated record